UACGUAGGGUGCGAGCGUUGUCCGGAAUUAUUGGGCGUAAAGAGCUCGUAGGCGGUCUGUCGCGUCGAUCGUGAAAACUUGGGGCUUAACCCUGAGCUUGCGGUCGAUACGGGCAUGACUGGAGUUCGGCAGGGGAGACUGGAAUUCCUGGUGUAGCGGUGAAAUGCGUAGAGAUCCGGAGGAACACCAGAGGCGAAGGCGGCCUACUGGGCUGCACCUGACGCUGAGCCGCGAAAGCCAGGGGAGCGAACGGG
RNAcentral lists this ribosomal RNA (254 nucleotides) under uncultured bacterium. Its description in RNAcentral is "partial 16S ribosomal RNA". It matches the Rfam family "Bacterial small subunit ribosomal RNA", at positions 524 to 776 of the family's 1533-position model. The record is from RNAcentral.